RNAcentral lists this long non-coding RNA (516 nucleotides) under Helianthus annuus (common sunflower). The record is from RNAcentral. Lineage: Eukaryota; Viridiplantae; Streptophyta; Magnoliopsida; Asterales; Asteraceae.
GGUUGAAUCCAAUCUAUCUAGUAACAAAGGAGGACUUACAUGGAACAGGAGAACGGUAGAGUGAUGCGACAUAGCAUCACAUCUGGUGUACGAAAACGGAAGUAUUCACAGCGACCAUCACAUCUGGUGUACGAAAACGGAAGUAUUCACAGCGACGCGGCAUCGCACCGCGUCCAGUGAACACUUCUAUCAAUACAGGAAAGCCUUACCUUAGGCAUAGAAGAAGAUGAACGUAGCGGUACGGCUGACACCGCACCAUACGGACAUUUUCGUCACGACAAGGGAUGCAGGCAAGACGACGAUGCGGCUAGCACCGCAUCUCGCGUAUUCCUUGAUCACAAGUAUGAGACGCGGUAACUUCAGAUGUUACCGCACGUAGCGAUGCGGCUUGCACCGCAUCCUAUGCACUCAAGCAAGUGGUACUGACACCACAGUGCAAGUGGCACCAAUGGCAGUUACCUGUCAGAGCUACGUAAGCAAUGGACUGACGUGGCGUAACCUCCAUAACCGACGAGC